This 107-nucleotide ribosomal RNA is filed under the name Acinetobacter baumannii. RNAcentral describes it as "partial 16S ribosomal RNA". It matches the Rfam family "Bacterial small subunit ribosomal RNA", at positions 1 to 106 of the family's 1533-position model. The record is from RNAcentral. Lineage: Bacteria; Pseudomonadati; Pseudomonadota; Gammaproteobacteria; Moraxellales; Moraxellaceae.
UAACUGAAGAGUUUGAUCAUGGCUCAGAUUGAACGCUGGCGGCAGGCUUAACACAUGCAAGUCGAGCGGGGGAAGGUAGCUUGCUACUGGACCUAGCGGCGGACGGG